AACAAUAUAAUAUAGGAGAGAAGAAUAGAAGGAAAGAAAGAAAGAAAGAAAAGAAAUAGUAAUGGAGAGACUAAGGAAGGAAAGAAUGGAAAGAAAGAAAGAAAGAAAGAAAGAAAGAAAGGGAAAAAUUGGUUAGAGAGGUUUGAAGGUAACAAAUAGUCAUGUAAGAAGAGUAUGAAAGGAAGGGUUAAUGCACUUGAUCAGGUACGGAAAGUCAAGAACGAAGGAAGGGUGAAGGAUGAAGGAGUAAAGAAGAAAGGCGGAAGGAAGCGUAAAAUCAAUCAAGGACAUGCAAGUAUAGUAAUGAACUUAUUUUUAGGAAGAAAAUGGAGAAGAAAAAAAGUGAAGGAACAAAUGAAGGAAGAAGGAUAAAUAAGGUGUCAUUGGGAGGCUGAAAAAAUAGAAAAUUACACGCGGAUAUUGAGAAACAAAUGUUAGGAGGGGAAAAUAAAAUGCCUAUGAAUGGAAGGAAAAAGAAGAAAGGAAGGAAGGAAGGAAGCGUAAAAUCAAUCAAGGGCAUGCAAGUAUAGUAAUGAACUUAUUUUUAGGAAGAAAAUGAAGAAGAAAAAAGUGAAGGAACAAAUGAAGGAAGAAGGAUAAAUAAGGUAUCACUGGGAGGCUGAAAAAAUAGAAAAUUACACGCGGAUAUUGAGAAACAAAUGUUAGGAAGGAUAAAUAAAAUGCCUAUGAAUGGAAGGAGUAAAGAAGAAAGGAAGGAAGGAAGCGUAAAAUCAAUCAAGGGCAUGCAAGUAUAGUAAUGAACUUAUUUUUAGGAAGAAAAUGAAGAAGAAAAAAGUGAAGGAACAAAUGAAGGAAGAAGGAUAAAUAAAGUGUCAUUGGGAGGCUGAAAAAAUAGAAAAUUACACGCGGAUAUUGAGAAACAAAUGUUAGGAGGGGAAAAUAAAAUGCCUAUGAAUGGAAGGAAAAAGAAGAAAGGAAGGAAGGAAGGAAGAAAGAAAAAAUAAUGAACCGAUGAUUAUAGGAGGGAAACAAACUUAAGAAAGAAAAUGUAUACAGGAAAUAUAUGAAAGAAUGAAUUAACAGAUAAAUAAACAUAUGAAAUAAGAUGAAAAAAAAAUAUAGGAAGGAAAAAAAAGAGCAAAUGAAACAAAGACCUGAAUAAGAAAGAGAACGAAACAGAUGAAUGGAUGAAUAAAAAAAGGAACAAGUGAAUGAACAGAUGAAUGAAGGAGGAAGCAAAUAAGUGAAGGAAGAAAGGAACAAACGAACACACAUUAUUAAAGGAAAGAAACAAGAGCAGAAAAGAAGGAACAAAGGCGAGGAACAAAGGAAACAAGGAGUGAAUGAGUGAAGAGAGAAAAGAAGAGAGGAAGGAAGGAAUGAAGGAAGGAAGGAAGGAAGGAAAUGUUACCGAAAAAUAAAGAAACAGGAGCAGAAAAGAAGGAACAAAGGCGAGGAACAAAGGAAACAAGGAGUGAAUGAGUGAAGAAAGAAAAGAAGAGAGGAAGGAAUGAAGGAAGGAAGGAAGGAAGGAAGGAAAUGUUACCGAAAAAUAAAGAAACAGGAGCAGAAAAGAAGGAACAAAGGCGAGGAACAAAGGAAACAAGGAGUGAAUGAGUGAAGAGAGAAAAGAAGAGAGGAAGGAAGGAAGGAAUGAAGGAAGGAAGGAAGGAAAUGUUACCGAAAAAUAAAGAAACAGGAGCAGAAAAGAAGGAACAAAG
Molecule: long non-coding RNA, 1682 nt
Organism: Eriocheir sinensis (Chinese mitten crab)
Lineage: Eukaryota; Metazoa; Arthropoda; Malacostraca; Decapoda; Varunidae
Exons: 2
Source: RefSeq, a predicted model, not a curated record